Long non-coding RNA from Mesocricetus auratus (golden hamster), 4120 nucleotides. RefSeq lists it as uncharacterized. Lineage: Eukaryota; Metazoa; Chordata; Mammalia; Rodentia; Cricetidae. The record is from RefSeq and is a predicted model, not a curated record. The transcript has 3 exons.
CUUAACCCCUGGGCCAUCCCUCCAACCCCCCUCAGGAUCCAUCUCUGCUCCAGUGAAAGAAUGUCUCACCCAAACCUAUUCAAGUGAUUUACUGGGAGGGAAGAAUCCAGGAGCGUGGCUACCUCUGCCUUCGUGAAGAAGACAGCAGCAAAUGGAAGAGGCACAGGGUUUAUAUAGGGCUUCUUAGGGGCAGGGUUUUUCCAGAGAGAAGAUUUCCAGGGUGGGAAUUGGUCAUAUUUCAAUCCCUUGAACUCAGAUUGGCUAGAUCUUCUUAGGGAUUGGUUGGUUUUCUGCUCAGGGAUUCGUUGGUUUUCUAUUUAGUUGGUUUGGUCAGAUUUGGCUCUGGUUUCAGGGCCCAGGUUUGUUUCUUUCACUGACCUUUUUAGCCUUUUGUGUCUAAUUUCAGGGCCAGGGCAUAUUACUUUGACUGGCUCUGAAUCUGGGACCAAAGUGUUUCUUUGGUUCUAGUUUCAGGGUCAGGGUGUAUUUCUUUGGCCGUGGUUGCAGGGCCAAAGUAUGUUUCUUUGGAUGGCCCGUCCCCCAUACAGUUAUGGAAUAUAAUAACUUUUCUUUAAGAAGCAAAAGUAAUAGCAGAUGAUGUUCUAUUAUUGAAUUUUAAGAAUAUAUAGCCGGGUGGUGGUGGCGCACACCUUUAAUCCCAGCACUCGGGAGGCAGAGGCAGGCGGAUGUCUGUGAGUUCCAGGCCAGGCUGGACCGACAGCCUCCAAAACAAUACAGAGAAACCCUGUCUCGUAAAGAAUAUAUUAAGGCACUGAAGGGUGGGUAGUGGAGCACGCCAUUAAUCCCAGUACCCAUUCUAGGCAGAGGCAGCCUGAUCUCUGUGAGUUAGAGGUCACCCUGGUCUACAGACUGAGCUCCAGGACAACCAAGGCUGUUAUAGAGAGAAAGCCUGUCUUGAAAACCAAAAACAAAACAAAAAAGGGAUACAUUAAGAUGUAUACAAAUAGCUUACCAAGAGCUAGGCACUACUCUACAAACAAUGUGCUGAAGUUAAAAGCAGUUGCUGCUCUUCUAGAAGUUAUGAGUUUUGUUCCUAGAACCCAUUUCAAGCAGCUCACAACCAUCUGUAACUCCAGGUCCAAAAGAGUUGACAUUUUUGGCUUCUGAAGAUACCCCCACAUACAUGGCAUAUGGACAUGGACACACACACACACACACACACAGAGAGAGAGAGAGAGAGAGAGAGAGAGAGGUAUAUUAUAAUUUCAAACAAACUGUUAUGAAUAUACCUGUACCAAAGAUGGGGAAACAGUUGCUCAAGAUCAUAACAGCUUAUUUGAUCAUUGGUCAUAAAGAAACCAAAAUGGGACAGAGACAAUUUCCCAACAAUAGUAAUACUUGGAAGACUUGCAACUACUGUUCAAUCCGAAUGGAGAACCAACAAUGCAUUGUAUUGUUUGAAUCAGCAACAAUUUAAAUGAUUCCUUGUAAGAAAAGGAGUGAUAUGAUUAUGGUCCAUAGGGAAAGAUGUAAAAUGGUUUUGUAGGUUCAGAGUAAAGAAGGUCUUGACAGUGUUUAAUGACAUUGGAUUGGCUAGCCAUUCCUAAACACUGGACCCAAGAGCCAAUGGCAUCCCUUGGAGUUUCCAUGAUUUGUAGCAAAGUGAGAAAAAAAUAAAGAUGUAAUGAUCACAUUUGCAGUGCACAUACAACUAAAACUGAAGUGAUAAAAGGCUAACAUGACCUGGGUGCAAGGAGAAGGGGCAAAUCCAUGAGGCAUUAUAUACUUUGUAAGUUCAUAAAUGUUGUCAAACAAAGAAAAAUCUUUUAAAAGAUGUAAUAAGUUUUUGUAAACAAAAUAGAACUAGUUUAAAAAAGAGUAUCUUUUAAUCUUUAUGUGCUUUAAAAAAUUAAACAUAGCUUUUCUUUAAGGAUGAAGAAUAAUAAUAGAUGGUCUAUGGGUUUGCUUGUUUGUUUGAAUUUGGUUUGUAUUUGUUUGUUGUUAUUGCUGUAACUCAGUACUAAGGCUGAGGCCUCAUAUAUGCUAAGUAUGUGUCUUGCCACUAAGCUAUAACUCCAGCUCCUGGAAUCUUUUUUUUUAAUUUUCUUAGUCAGCAAUUAAAGACUACAGAGUUGGUAACUCUAUAAAAACAUAUAGACUAAGUUGGCCAUUCUUUUUAACUUUUCUGGACUUAGGGAUUCAGUCAACUGAAAACAUUUCAUUGAGAUGAGACUCAACCUACAGUGAAGAAAUUAUAGUGCUAGAAGAAUUAGAAUGAGGCAUUGUUGGGAGUGAUCAUGGGGAAACUAGAUUGGAGUAUAGACUUCAAUAUAGUGAAGCAAAUAGAACAUUUCUCUUAUUUGGUUAUUUGGUGGAAAAUACGCUUGGUUGCAUGUUUAUGCAAUUUCUUUCAUAAACAUGGAGGGGGGCACAGUGUUUUGAGAGGUAGCCUCCAAAGAUGGCUUCCAGUGAACUAUGUCUCCUGAUCCACUCUGGAGUUCCCACCUACACUAAAGCUAGGCAGAGACUUUUACCAGUAGGAUGUAACACAGGCACUAUGCCAGAUGUGAAAUUCCCAAGUAAUCAAUAAAGAAUUGUGAGGUAGGUUGUGUGUGUGUGUGUGUGUGUGUGUGUGUGUGUUAUAGCUAUGUUCCUAUUGACACCUUAGACAGUAUUUCCAAGAAAGUAUGAUAUUUAUUGUGGCUAAUGUAGCUUUCCAGAGGGCAUCAUAUUUCUAAAAAUGUACAACAACUUCAUCAGAUUCUGAACAUUAGUAAACAGAAAGUUAUGAGAAUUUAGAUUCCAUUCUGUUUCAAGAGGUUGGUUUCUAUAUAGUUAGUAUUUUCCCCAAAGUAGUUUAUUUUUGCAUGUUUUUCUAGGUCUAAGAAGUAAAUCAGGAAGAGUAUGUUCUUUUUCUUAAGAGUAUUUCUUUUGAGAUCAGCCAAGAGGGUUUUUUGGGGGGGUUCUUUAUUUAUUUUGUUUUUAUUUUUGUUUUUUUUUUCUUUCCACAGAACAUUUUAGAUCUACUGCAGCCUUGCUUCUGCAGGGGCAGAGUUUGGGAUGCGGGAAUCUGUCAGGAUUAUAGCAAGAAAAGUGUAUGGUAAACCCAGGGUGUUGAUUCCAGCAAGACAAAUUCUCGAAAUUUCCUCCAUUGGAGUUACUUCCAUCUUGGCUGCAGCUCAUUUGAAUUCAGUUCAUCAACUUCCUGUUUUUUCCUUAGCAGUGGUUCUCAGAACCAGGUAAGAAUAGUUUAACACUUUCCAGGAACACUGUUUUGCCAAGUUGUGCCCUUUUAUUCUCUCUCCAGCACUGGGUUUGUCAUUAUACUUGGGUUCAUUUGUAUUAACUUGGUAUCUUUGAUUGUGGUUGUUCAAUUUUCUAUAUUUAUUGAUUUUGUUAAAAUUUUUUUGAUUUAUCUUACAUGUAUUAGUAUUUUACCUGCAUGUGUGCCUAGUGUCCAGGGAAGUCAGAGAGCGCAAUGAAUCCAUUAGGACUGGAGUUAUAGAUGACUGUGAGCCACCAUGUUGGUGCUGAGAAUUGAAUCCAGGUCCUUUGCAAGAGGAACUAGUGCUCUCAGCCAUAGAGCCAUCUCUCCAGCCCAUGAUUUUUAUGUUUCUAUGAAUUCAUUUAUGUUUCACACUUAUUCACCUAUUGGUUUUACAUUUUUCCAGCCCCCUGCUUUAGCAGCCAUCACAGGCUAACAUGUGCUUGCCUGACCUUGCCCCUCCUGUUCUACUCGACAGGAGGUCAGAUAACCUCCUCUGGCAAGGAACCAAUCAGAAGUUAGCUGGCGGGGCUGUGUUUUAUGGCUCUGGGUGUGCUUUAUGUAUACAUGUACAACAGUGAUGUGCAGAACAUAACAACUGACGUGGGAAGGCCUAUAGGCCAUAACAACCAGUUGACCAAUCAAUACAGAACAGGUGGUCCAAGCCCUGAAGCACACCAAUCCUGAGACUGUUGUGUACCCCUAGACACUCUGCUUAUGCUACCCAAUAUAUUCCCUGCCUUGUGUUUCCCCUGGUCCUUCUCCAGCAUCUGCUGCGGUGAAUGGAGUUAAUGGGGUUAGCUCAUUAAACAACACCAAAGGACUGUUUGCUUUUGUAUCGAAAUGGGUCUCUUGGUGAUUUUGAGGUUUCAGAAUUUGGGCACAACACAUAUA